CUAAAUACUCCCUAGUGACCGAUAGUGAACCAGUACCGUGAGGGAAAGGUGAAAAGCACCCCGGGAGGGGAGUGAAAUAGAACCUGAAACCGUGUGCCUACAACAAGUUCGAGCCCGUUAAUGGGUGAGAGCGUGCCUUUUGUAGAAUGAACCGGCGAGUUACGUUAUGAUGCGAGGUUAAGUUGAAGAGACGGAGCCGUAGGGAAACCGAGUCUGAAUAGGGCGCCUUAGUAUCAUGACGUAGACCCGAAACCAUGUGACCUACCCAUGAGCAGGUUGAAGGUGCGGUAAGACGCACUGGAGGACCGAACCAGGGCACGUUGAAAAGUGCUUGGAUGACUUGUGGGUAGCGGAGAAAUUCCAAACGAACUUGGAGAUAGCUGGUUCUCUCCGAAAUAGCUUUAGGGCUAGCGUCGACAUUAGAGAUUCUUGGAGGUAGAGCACUGUUUGGGUGAGGGGUCCAUCCCGGAUUACCAAUCUCAGAUAAACUCCGAAUGCCAAUGAAUUAUGGUCGGCAGUCAGACUGCGAGUGCUAAGAUCCGUAGUCGAAAGGGAAACAGCCCAGACCACCAGCUAAGGUCCCAAAAUAAUUGUUAAGUGGAAAAGGAUGUGGGGUUGCACAGACAACUAGGAUGUUAGCUUAGAAGCAGCUAUUCAUUCAAAGAGUGCGUAAUAGCUCACUAGUCGAGUGACCCUGCGCCGAAAAUGUACCGGGGCUAAAACAAUUUACCGAAGCUGUGGAUACCUUUAUAGGUAUGGUAGGAGAGCGUUCUAUGUGUGAUGAAGGUAUACCGUGAGGAGUGCUGGAACGCAUAGAAGUGAGAAUGCCGGUAUGAGUAGCGAAAGACAGGUGAGAAUCCUGUCCACCGUAAGACUAAGGUUUCCAGGGGAAGGCUCGUCCGCCCUGGGUUAGUCGGGACCUAAGGAGAGACCGAAAGGUGUAUCCGAUGGACAACAGGUUGAUAUUCCUGUACUAGAGUAUGUAGUGAUGGAGGGACGCAGUAGGCUAACUAAAGCAGACGAUUGGAAGAGUCUGUCUAAGCAGUGAGGUGUGAAUUGAGUCAAAUGCUUAAUUCUAUAACAUUGAGCUGUGAUGGGGAGCGAAGUUUAGUAGCGAAGUUAGUGACGUCACACUGCCAAGAAAAGCUUCUAGCGUUUAAACAUACUCUACCCGUACCGCAAACCGACACAGGUAGUCGAGGCGAGUAGCCUCAGGUGAGCGAGAGAACUCUCGUUAAGGAACUCGGCAAAAUGACCCCGUAACUUCGGGAGAAGGGGUGCUGACUUUAAGUCAGCCGCAGUGAAUAGGCCCAAGCAACUGUUUAUCAAAAACACAGCUCUCUGCUAAAUCGUAAGAUGAUGUAUAGGGGGUGACGCCUGCCCGGUGCUGGAAGGUUAAGAGGAGUGCUUAGCGUAAGCGAAGGUAUGAAUUGAAGCCCCAGUAAACGGCGGCCGUAACUAUAACGGUCCUAAGGUAGCGAAAUUCCUUGUCGGGUAAGUUCCGACCCGCACGAAAGGCGUAAUGAUUUGGGCACUGUCUCAACGAGAGACUCGGUGAAAUUUUAGUACCUGUGAAGAUGCAGGUUACCCGCGACAGGACGGAAAGACCCCAUGGAGCUUUACUGCAGUUUGAUAUUGAGUGUCUGUACCACAUGUACAGGAUAGGUAGGAGUCUAAGAGAUCGGGACGCCAGUUUCGAAGGAGACGCUGUUGGGAUACUACCCUUGUGUUAUGGCCACUCUAACCCAGAUAGGUGAUCCCUAUCGGAGACAGUGUCUGACGGGCAGUUUGACUGGGGCGGUCGCCUCCUAAAAGGUAACGGAGGCGCCCAAAGGUUCCCUCAGAAUGGUUGGAAAUCAUUCGCAGAGUGUAAAGGUAUAAGGGAGCUUGACUGCGAGAGCUACAACUCGAGCAGGGACGAAAGUCGGGCUUAGUGAUCCGGUGGUUCCGUAUGGAAGGGCCAUCGCUCAACGGAUAAAAGCUACCCUGGGGAUAACAGGCUUAUCUCCCCCAAGAGUUCACAUCGACGGGGAGGUUUGGCACCUCGAUGUCGGCUCGUCGCAUCCUGGGGCUGUAGUCGGUCCCAAGGGUUGGGCUGUUCGCCCAUUAAAGCGGCACGCGAGCUGGGUUCAGAACGUCGUGAGACAGUUCGGUCCCUAUCCGUCGCGGGCG
RNAcentral lists this ribosomal RNA (2172 nucleotides) under Streptococcus pneumoniae. Its description in RNAcentral is "partial 23S ribosomal RNA". It matches the Rfam family "Bacterial large subunit ribosomal RNA", at positions 466 to 2653 of the family's 2925-position model. The record is from RNAcentral. Lineage: Bacteria; Bacillati; Bacillota; Bacilli; Lactobacillales; Streptococcaceae.